This 468-nucleotide ribosomal RNA is filed under the name uncultured bacterium. Its description in RNAcentral is "partial 16S ribosomal RNA". It matches the Rfam family "Bacterial small subunit ribosomal RNA", at positions 28 to 507 of the family's 1533-position model. The record is from RNAcentral.
GACGAACGCUGGCGGCGUGCUUAACACAUGCAAGUCGAACGGAAAGGCCCUGCUUUUGUGGGUUGCUCGAGUGGCGAACGGGUGAGUAACACGUGAGUAACCUGCCCUUGACUUUGUGAUAACUUCAGGAAACUGGGGCUAAUACCGGAUAGGAGCUCCUGCUGCAUGGUGGGGGUUGGAAAGUUUCGGCGGUUGGGGAUGGACUCGCGGCUUAUCAGCUUGUUGGUGGGGUAGUGGCUUACCAAGGCUUUGACGGGUAGCCGGCCUGAGAGGGUGACCGGCCACAUUGGGACUAAGAGACGGACCAGACUCCUACGGGCGGCAGCAGUGGGGAAUAUUGCACAAUGGGCGGAAGCCUGUGGCAGCAACGCCGCGUGCGGGAUGACGGCCUUCGGGUUGUAAACCGAUUUCGCCGGUGACGAAGCGUGAGUGACGGUAAUGGGUAAAGAAGCACCGGCUAACUACGUG